AAUGGGUCAGCGACUUAUAUUCUGUAGCAAGGUUAACCGAAUAGGGGAGCCGAAGGGAAACCGAGUCUUAACUGGGCGUUAAGUUGCAGGGUAUAGACCCGAAACCCGGUGAUCUAGCCAUGGGCAGGUUGAAGGUUGGGUAACACUAACUGGAGGACCGAACCGACUAAUGUUGAAAAAUUAGCGGAUGACUUGUGGCUGGGGGUGAAAGGCCAAUCAAACCGGGAGAUAGCUGGUUCUCCCCGAAAGCUAUUUAGGUAGCGCCUCGUGAAUUCAUCUCCGGGGGUAGAGCACUGUUUCGGCAAGGGGGUCAUCCCGACUUACCAACCCGAUGCAAACUGCGAAUACCGGAGAAUGUUAUCACGGGAGACACACGGCGGGUGCUAACGUCCGUCGUGAAGAGGGAAACAACCCAGACCGCCAGCUAAGGUCCCAAAGUCAUGGUUAAGUGGGAAACGAUGUGGGAAGGCCCAGACAGCCAGGAUGUUGGCUUAGAAGCAGCCAUCAUUUAAAGAAAGCGUAAUAGCUCACUGGUCGAGUCGGCCUGCGCGGAAGAUGUAACGGGGCUAAACCAUGCACCGAAGCUGCGGCAGCGACGCUGAUGCGUUGUUGGGUAGGGGAGCGUUCUGUAAGCCUGUGAAGGUGUGCUGUGAGGCAUGCUGGAGGUAUCAGAAGUGCGAAUGCUGACAUAAGUAACGAUAAAGCGGGUGAAAAGCCCGCUCGCCGGAAGACCAAGGGUUCCUGUCCAACGUUAAUCGGGGCAGGGUGAGUCGACCCCUAAGGCGAGGCCGAAAGGCGUAGUCGAUGGGAAACAGGUUAAUAUUCCUGUACUUGGUGUUACUGCGAAGGGGGGACGGAGAAGGCUAUGUUGGCCGGGCGACGGUUGUCCCGGUUUAAGCGUGUAGGCUGGUUUUCCAGGCAAAUCCGGAAAAUCAAGGCUGAGGCGUGAUGACGAGGCACUACGGUGCUGAAGCAACAAAUGCCCUGCUUCCAGGAAAAGCCUCUAAGCAUCAGGUAACAUCAAAUCGUACCCCAAACCGACACAGGUGGUCAGGUAGAGAAUACCAAGGCGCUUGAGAGAACUCGGGUGAAGGAACUAGGCAAAAUGGUGCCGUAACUUCGGGAGAAGGCACGCUGAUAUGUAGGUGAAGUCCCUCGCGGAUGGAGCUGAAAUCAGUCGAAGAUACCAGCUGGCUGCAACUGUUUAUUAAAAACACAGCACUGUGCAAACACGAAAGUGGACGUAUACGGUGUGACGCCUGCCCGGUGCCGGAAGGUUAAUUGAUGGGGUCAGCGCAAGCGAAGCUCUUGAUCGAAGCCCCGGUAAACGGCGGCCGUAACUAUAACGGUCCUAAGGUAGCGAAAUUCCUUGUCGGGUAAGUUCCGACCUGCACGAAUGGCGUAAUGAUGGCCAGGCUGUCUCCACCCGAGACUCAGUGAAAUUGAACUCGCUGUGAAGAUGCAGUGUACCCGCGGCAAGACGGAAAGACCCCGUGAACCUUUACUAUAGCUUGACACUGAACAUUGAGCCUUGAUGUGUAGGAUAGGUGGGAGGCUUUGAAGUGUGGACGCCAGUCUGCAUGGAGCCGACCUUGAAAUACCACCCUUUAAUGUUUGAUGUUCUAACGUUGACCCGUAAUCCGGGUUGCGGACAGUGUCUGGUGGGUAGUUUGACUGGGGCGGUCUCCUCCUAAAGAGUAACGGAGGAGCACGAAGGUUGGCUAAUCCUGGUCGGACAUCAGGAGGUUAGUGCAAUGGCAUAAGCCAGCUUGACUGCGAGCGUGACGGCGCGAGCAGGUGCGAAAGCAGGUCAUAGUGAUCCGGUGGUUCUGAAUGGAAGGGCCAUCGCUCAACGGAUAAAAGGUACUCCGGGGAUAACAGGCUGAUACCGCCCAAGAGUUCAUAUCGACGGCGGUGUUUGGCACCUCGAUGUCGGCUCAUCACAUCCUGGGGCUGAAGUAGGUCCCAAGGGUAUGGCUGUUCGCCAUUUAAAGUGGUACGCGAGCUGGGUUUAGAACGUCGUGAGACAGUUCGGUCCCUAUCUGCCGUGGGCGCUGGAGAACUGAGGGGGGCUGCUCCUAGUACGAGAGGACCGGAGUGGACGCAUCACUGGUGUUCGGGUUGUCAUGCCAAUG
This 2135-nucleotide ribosomal RNA is filed under the name Escherichia coli. RNAcentral describes it as "partial 23S ribosomal RNA". It matches the Rfam family "Bacterial large subunit ribosomal RNA", at positions 614 to 2734 of the family's 2925-position model. The record is from RNAcentral. Lineage: Bacteria; Pseudomonadati; Pseudomonadota; Gammaproteobacteria; Enterobacterales; Enterobacteriaceae.